Phacochoerus africanus (Common warthog) is the source of this 540-nucleotide non-coding RNA. Lineage: Eukaryota; Metazoa; Chordata; Mammalia; Artiodactyla; Suidae. The record is from the annotation of a RefSeq genome assembly.
AGUCUGACAUAAAAGGGCAGCUCUAGCCUGGCUUGGACUGAUCAGGGCUCCUCCGUUCACAGCUGACCAUGAGGUUCCCUGCCCAGCUCCUGGGGCUCCUCCUGCUCUGGGUCCCAGGAUCCGAUGGGGCCAUCGUGCUGACCCAGACUCCACUCUCCCUGUCAGUCAGCCCUGGAGAGCCGGCCUCCAUCUCCUGCAGGUCCAGUCAGAGCCUCCUACACAGUGAUGGAAAGAAUUAUUUGAAUUGGUACCUUCAGAAACCAGGCCAGUCUCCCCAGCGCCUGAUCUAUAGAGCUACCAACAGGGACACUGGGGUCCCAGACAGGUUCAGUGGCAGUGGGUCAGGCACAGAUUUCACCCUGAAAAUCAGCAGGGUGGAGGCUGAGGAUGCAGGCGUUUAUUACUGCCAGCAAUAUAAAGAAUCUCCUCCCACAGUGAUACAGCCCUUAACACAAACCCCUCUCCUGGGGGCCCAGCUGCACACAUGGGUGUGCAUGUUGUGUGGGGAGCAGAGGGGCAGAUGCUCUGAGGCUGUGUAAG